Molecule: non-coding RNA, 369 nt
Organism: Styela clava
Lineage: Eukaryota; Metazoa; Chordata; Ascidiacea; Stolidobranchia; Styelidae
Source: RefSeq, a predicted model, not a curated record
AAGACACUCAUAAUCGAAGACUCUCUUCUUGUUUACGACUAUACGCAACGCGAAGAAAAUGAAACAUUUGACGAUUCGGUGUUUUGUCUUAUUGUCUUUUAUGCUUCUGAUGUCUUACAACAUUGUUCAUACUCAACUGACUACGGAAGGACCUAUACAAUCAAGGCUAGGCAACACCCCACCGUGGCCAGGAAAGAAGAAACGGGACGUUGGAAAAUUUGAUAAAAUAACAGAUGACGAAUUAUUCUUUGACGACGAUUCACAGAAUGAUCACUGAAUGAAGAUUGCUGUUACCGAGUUUUAUGACAUCAUGGAAGUUUUCUAUUUUUGUGUAAUUUGUGAAUGGCGUAAUAAAAAUUAUCAAAAUAA